GCUUGCUCCCUGAUGUUAGCGGCGGACGGGUGAGUAACACGUGGGUAACCUGCCUGUAAGACUGGGAUAACUCCGGGAAACCGGGGCUAAUACCGGAUGSUUGUUUGAACCGCAUGGUUCAGACAUAAAAGGUGGCUUCGGCUACCACUUACAGAUGGACCCGCGGCGCAUUAGCUAGUUGGUGAGGUAACGGCUCACCAAGGCGACGAUGCGUAGCCGACCUGAGAGGGUGAUCGGCCACACUGGGACUGAGACACGGCCCAGACUCCUACGGGAGGCAGCAGUAGGGAAUCUUCCGCAAUGGACGAAAGUCUGACGGAGCAACGCCGCGUGAGUGAUGAAGGUUUUCGGAUCGUAAAGCUCUGUUGUUAGGGAAGAACAAGUGCCGUUCAAAUAGGGCGGCACCUUGACGGUACCUAACCAGAAAGCCACGGCUAACUACGUGCCAGCAGCCGCGGUAAUACGUAGGUGGCAAGCGUUGUCCGGAAUUAUUGGGCGUAAAGGGCUCGCAGGCGGUUUCUUAAGUCUGAUGUGAAAGCCCCCGGCUCAACCGGGGAGGGUCAUUGGAAACUGGGGAACUUGAGUGCAGAANGGAGAGUGGAAUUCCNCGUGUAGCGGUGAAAUGCGUA
Molecule: ribosomal RNA, 629 nt
Filed under: Bacillus sp. (in: firmicutes)
Lineage: Bacteria; Bacillati; Bacillota; Bacilli; Caryophanales; Bacillaceae
Description: bacterial SSU rRNA
Rfam family: Bacterial small subunit ribosomal RNA
Source: RNAcentral